This 497-nucleotide ribosomal RNA is filed under the name uncultured bacterium. RNAcentral describes it as "partial 16S ribosomal RNA". It matches the Rfam family "Bacterial small subunit ribosomal RNA", at positions 28 to 507 of the family's 1533-position model. The record is from RNAcentral.
GAUGAACGCUGGCGGCGUGCCUAAUACAUGCAAGUCGAGCGAACAGACGAGGAGCUUGCUCCUCUGACGUUAGCGGCGGACGGGUGAGUAACACGUGGAUAACCUACCUAUAAGACUGGGAUAACUUCGGGAAACCGGAGCUAAUACCGGAUAAUAUAUUGAACCGCAUGGUUCAAUAGUGAAAGACGGUUUUGCUGUCACUUAUAGAUGGAUCCGCGCCGCAUUAGCUAGUUGGUAAGGUAGCGGCUUACCAAGGCAACGAUGCGUAGCCGACCUGAGAGGGUGAUCGGCCACACUGGAACUGAGACACGGUCCAGACUCCUACGGGAGGCAGCAGUAGGGAACCUUCCGCAAUGGGCGAAAGCCUGACGGAGCAACGCCGCGUGAGUGAUGAAGGUCUUCGGAUCGUAAAACUCUGUUAUUAGGGAAGAACAAAUGUGUAAGUAACUAUGCACGUCUUGACGGUACCUAAUCAGAAAGCCACGGCUAACUACGUG